Molecule: RNA transcript, 1174 nt
Organism: Mastomys coucha (southern multimammate mouse)
Lineage: Eukaryota; Metazoa; Chordata; Mammalia; Rodentia; Muridae
Gene name: actin, cytoplasmic 2-like
Exons: 1
Source: RefSeq, a predicted model, not a curated record
GCGUUCGUCAUCGACAAUGGCUCUGGCAUGUGCAAAGCCAGCUUUGCAGGCGACAAUGCUCCCCGGGCCGUCUUCCCUUCCAUCGUGGGCUGCCCUAGGCACCAGGGUGUGAUGGUGGGUAUGGGUCAGAAGGACUCCUACGUGGGCAACGAGGCCCAGAGCAAAAGAAGUAUCCUGACCUUGAAAUACCCCAUUGAACACGGCAUUGUCACCAACUAGGACGAUAGGGAGAAGAUCUGGCAUCAUACCUUCUACAAUGAACUGCGUGUGGCCCCUGAGGAGCACCCUGUGCUGCUCACCGAGGCCCCCAUGAACCCUAAGGCCAACCAUGAAAAGAUGACCCAGAUCAUGUUUGAGACCUUCAACACCCCAGCCAUGUACGUAGCUAUCCAGGCUGUGCUGUCCCUGUAUGCCUCUGGUCAUACCACUGGCAUUGUGAUGGACUCCGGAGACGGGGUCACACCCAAUAUGCCUAUCUAUGAUAGCUCUGCUGUCCCUCAUGCCAUCCUGUGUCUGAACCUAGCUGGCCGGUACCUGAGAGCCUACCUCAUGAAGAUCCUGAAAGAGCGUGGCUACAGCUUCACCACCACAGCUGAGAGAGAAAUCAUGCAUGACAUCAAAGAGAAGCUGUGCUGUGUUGCUCUAGACUUCGAGCAGGAGAUGGCCACUGCCACAUCCUCUUCCUCCCUGGAGAAGAGCUAUGAGCUGCCUGACGGCCAGGUCAUCACUAUUGGCAAUGAGCGGUUCCGAUGCCCCGAGGAUCUUUUCCAGCCUUCCUUCUUGGGUAUGGAAUCCUGUGGCAUCCAUGAAACUACAUUCAAUUCCAUCAUGAAGUGUGACGUUGACAUCCGUAAAGACCUCUAUGCCAACACAGUGCUGUCUGGUGGCACUACCAUGUACCCAGGCAUUGCUUACAGGAUGCAGAAGGAGAUUACUGCUCUGGCUCCUAGCCCCAUGAAGAUCAAGAUCAUUACUCCUCCUGAGCGCAAGUACUCUGUGUGGAUCGAUGGCUCCAUCCUGGCCUCACUGUCCACCUUCCAGCAGAUGUGGAUCAGCAAGCAGGAGUACGAUGAGUCCGGCCCCUCCAUCGUGCACCCCAAAUGCUUCUAAGCAGACUGUUACUGAGCUGCGUUUUGCACCCUUUCUUUGACAAAACCUAACGCGCAGAAAAAAU